This 442-nucleotide ribosomal RNA is filed under the name uncultured bacterium. Its description in RNAcentral is "partial 16S ribosomal RNA". It matches the Rfam family "Bacterial small subunit ribosomal RNA", at positions 338 to 795 of the family's 1533-position model. The record is from RNAcentral.
CCUACGGGAGGCAGCAGUAGGGAAUCUUUCACAAUGGGCGAAAGCCUGAUGGAGCAACGCCGCGUGCAGGAUGAAGGCCUUCGGGUUGUAAACUGAUUUUAUAAGCGAGAAAUAUGAUGGUAACUUAUGAAUAAGGAUCGGCUAACUACGUGCCAGCAGCCGCGGUCAUACGUAGGAUCCGAGCAUUAUCCGGAGUGACUGGGUGUAAAGAGUUGCGUAGGUGGCAUAAUAAGUAGCUAGUGAAAUCUGGUGGCUCAACCAUUCAGACUAUUAGCUAAACUGUUAAGCUCGAGACCGUUAGGGGUAACUGGAAUUUCUAGUGUAGGAGUGAAAUCCGUAGAUAUUAGAAGGAACACCAAUAGCGUAGGCAGGUUGCUGGGACGGUUCUGACACUAAGGCACGAAAGCGUAGGGAGCAAACGGGAUUAGAUACCCGAGUAGUC